UACGUAGGGGGCAAGCGUUGUCCGGAUUUAUUGGGCGUAAAGAGCGUGUAGGCGGCAAGGCAGGUCGGUUGUGAAAACUGGAGGCUUAACCUCCAGACGUCGACCGAAACCAUCUGGCUAGAGUCCGGAAGAGGAGAGUGGAAUUCCUGGUGUGGCGGUGAAAUGCGCAGAUAUCAGGAAGAACACCAGUGGCUAAGGCGGCUCUCUAGUACGGUACUGACGCUGAGACGCGAAAGCGUGGGGAGCGAACAGG
Molecule: ribosomal RNA, 253 nt
Filed under: uncultured bacterium
Lineage: Bacteria
Description: partial 16S ribosomal RNA
Rfam family: Bacterial small subunit ribosomal RNA
Source: RNAcentral